Molecule: ribosomal RNA, 433 nt
Filed under: uncultured bacterium
Lineage: Bacteria
Description: partial 16S ribosomal RNA
Rfam family: Bacterial small subunit ribosomal RNA
Source: RNAcentral
AACGAACGCUGGCGGCAUGCCUAACACAUGCAAGUCGAACGAGACCUUCGGGUCUAGUUGCGCACGUGUGCGUAACGCGUGGGAACCUGCCCUUAGGUUCGGAAUAACUCCCCGAAAGGGGUGCUAAUACCGGAUAAUGUCUUCGGACCAAAGAUUUAUCGCCUUUGGAUGGGCCCGCGUUGGAUUAGCUAGUUGGUAGUGUAAAAGCCUACCAAGGCGACGAUCCAUAGCUGGUCUGAGAGGAUGAUCAGCCACACUGGGACUGAGACACGGCCCAGACUCGUACGGGAGGCAGCAGUGGAGAAUAUUGGACAAUGGGCGAAAGCCUGAUACAGCAAUGCCGCGUGAGUGAUGAAGGCCUUAGGGUUGUAAAGCUCUUUUACCCGGGAUGAUAAUGACAGUACCGGGAGAAUAAGCUCCGGCUAACUCCGUG